Molecule: long non-coding RNA, 536 nt
Organism: Actinia tenebrosa (Australian red waratah sea anemone)
Lineage: Eukaryota; Metazoa; Cnidaria; Anthozoa; Actiniaria; Actiniidae
Source: RefSeq, a predicted model, not a curated record
GAAUAUGGACUCAAACAAACUUCUUCUCAAGAGAAUGACACAUGGUCUGAAAUGGGGUACAAUAAGAUUGUGAUGUAAAGACUACAAGACUACCAGAUUAUUCUUACUCCUAAAAUUCCUGCUCGAUCAGCCAUUAUCCAGCCUAUCAACCAGUCGACAUCACUGCGAUGGUUUGCAAGACAAAUACCACUCUCAGAGCCAAGCUUGUCAUAAUCUUCUUUAUUGCCAUACAGUUUAAUGUUAACACCUCCCCACCACUCUGCCAGAAAUGUUAAUUCUGUAGAAACAAAAAGGUUAAAAUAUCCAAAUGAAUUAUAUUAAAUAAAUCAUAAUCUAGUUUUUGGAACCUUGGAAUUGCAUGGACUGCAGAGAGCAAACCUGUAACAUCAGUACAAAUGUCAACGAUGAAGAUCAAGGUGUAUAGAUGGUAACACCACAUUCACCUGAGUGAUUUACUGUGCUGUACUAAACAUUACCACUGACUAGAAACACAAGCACAAACCACAGCCAAGCGCCGGGCAGCAUCUUGAGUACAU